Callithrix jacchus (white-tufted-ear marmoset) is the source of this 2975-nucleotide RNA transcript. It is a transcript of the gene named protein lin-28 homolog A pseudogene, with no coding region annotated. The record is from RefSeq and is a predicted model, not a curated record. Lineage: Eukaryota; Metazoa; Chordata; Mammalia; Primates; Cebidae.
UUCUACAGUGUCACCAGCAUCAGCCAGAGCCAAACGCAUUCCUGGAAGAAGAAAAAAAAGUCAGUGAAUUAAAAAUAUGGUUACUGUGUAUCAAUUAUGUCCUAUAUGUGUCCAGCUGGGUACACUGCAAAGCCCAUAUAUAAAUUAACAAAUGCGAUUGUGUGGGGGAAGAUGUAGCAGCCUCUUCUCCGAACCACCCCUUUGCCUUCAGACUUCUCUGGGGCCAGCAGCCGCCCGACCACGGACCCGGGGACACGGGCUCAGCCAACUACCAUGGGCUCCGUGUCCAACCUACAGUGUGCAGGUGGCUGCGCCAAGGCGGCAGAAGAGGCGCCCUAGGAGGCACUGGAGGACGCGGCCCGGGCGGAGGACAAGCCUCAGCUGCUGCACGGUGCAGGCAUCUGUAAGUGGUUCAACGUGCGCAUGGGAUUCGGCUUCCUGUCCAUGACCACACGCGCCGGGGUCGCGCUCGACCCCACAGUGGACGUCUUUGUGCACCAGAGUAAGCUGUACAUGGAGGGCUUCCGGAGCUUGAAGGAGGGUGAGGCCGUGGAGUUCAUCUUUAAGAAGUCAGCCAAGGGUCUGGAAUCCAUCCAUGUCACUGGACCUGGUGGGGUGUUCUGUAUUGGGAGUGACAGGCCGCCAAAGGGGAAGAACAGGCAGAAGCGCAGAUCAAAAGGAGACAGGUGCUACAACUGUGGAGGUCUAGACCAUCAUGCCAAGGAAUACAAGUUGCCACCCCAGCCCAAGAAGUGCCACUUCUAUCAAAGCAUCAGCCAUAUGGUAGCCUCAUGUCCACUGAAGGCCCAGCAGGCCCCUAAGGCACAGGGAAAGCCAAAAUACUUUCGGGAGGAAGAAGAAAUCCACAGCCCUGCCCUGCUCCCGGAGGCCCAGAAUUGAGCCCCAAUGGGUGGGGGCUAUUCUUUUGCUAUCAGGAAGUUUCGAGGAGCAGGCAGAGUGGAGAAAGUGGGAAUAGGGUACAUUGGGGCUAGUUGGCACUGCCAUGUAUCUCAGGCUGGGGUUCGUACCAUCACCCUUUCUUCCCUCUAGGUCGGGGGAAAGGGUGAGUCAAAGGAACUCCAUCCAUGCUCUGUCCAAAUGCAAGUGAGGGUUCUGGGGGCAACCAGGAGGAGGGAAUCACCCUACAACCUGCACGCUUUAUCUGAGGCUCCAUCCCCAGAAUUUCCAGCUUUUGAAAGUGGCCUGGAUAGGGAAGUUAUUUUCCUUUUAAAGAAGGAUAUAUAAUAAUAAUUCCCAUGCCAGAGUGAAAUGAUUAAGUAUAAGACCAGAUUCAUGGAGCCAAGCCACUACAUUCUGUGGAAGGGAAUCUCUCAGGAAUAAGGCAGUUUUUUUUUUCCACAUCUUAUAUCCUCAUACCCACUUCUGGGAUAGGGUGCUGGCAACUGUCCCAAGCAAUGGGUAGUGAUGAUGGCAAAAAGGCUGUUUGGGGGAACAGUUGCAGACCUGCUGCUCCUACACUCACCCCGCCCCAUUCUGGGUCAAUGUGAUUUUAUUUAUUUGCUCCCUUGGAUACUGCACCUUGGGUCCCACUUUCUCUAGGAUGCCAACUGCACUAGCUGUGUGCGAAUGACGUAUCUUGUGCAUUUUAACUUUUUUUUUCCUUAAUAUAAAUAUUCUGGUUUUGUAUUUUUGCAUAUUUUAAUCUAAGGCCCUUAUUUCCUGCACUGUGUUCUCAGGUACAUGAGCAAUCUCAGGGAUAAGUCGGCAGCAGCUCCAGGUCUGCACAGCAGGAAUACUUUUUGUUGUUUUUGCCACCAUGGAGAGCAACUAUUUGGAGUGCAGAGCCUAUUGAACUACCUCAUUUUUGCCAAUGACAGCUGGCUUUUCUGCCAUAGUGUCCUCUUGAAACCCCCUCUGCCUUGAAAAUGUUUUAUGGGAAACUAGGUUUUAACUGGGUUGCCCCAUGACUUGAUUGCCUCCUACUGGAAGAUUGGAAGUUAGUCUAAACAGGAAAUGGUGGUGCAGAGAGGCUAGGAGAGGCUGGGCUAGGUGAAAGGCCCAGAGAGGAACCCAAGAUUAGGUGAGGGUUGUCUAAUCCUAGGGCACAGGACAGGCUUUACAUCCCAGAUCCAUUCUUCACCAGAUUAGACGAGGCCUACCAUGCACAACAGGGUGUGUGUGUUCAUAAAACAGGAGUUGGUAAGGGUAAGUUUUAAGACCAGUACCCCUGUACUUAAUCCUGUGCUGUCAAGGGAUGGCUAUAUGAAGUAGGGUCUAAAAUCCUCAACCUGUCAAAAUUCUUGGGUUGCAGGAAGACACACGAGCAGGGCUUUGUGGUGCCUGGGGCCCGUGUCCUGCCCUGCUGCAGUAGUGAUUCCUAGUGUCACGGUGGCUAAAGGAGAAAGGGGGUUUCGUUUACAUGCUGUGAGAUCACCGCAAACCUACCUCACUGUGUUGAAACGGGACAAAUGCAAUAGAACACAUUGGGUGGUGUGUGUCUGAUCCUGGGUUCUUGUCUCCCCUAAAUGCUGCCCCCCUCUAGUUAUUAUAUUUGUCUGGGCUUUGUAGGACUUCACUAAUUUGGUGAUUGCUAGGUGGCCUAGUUUGUGUAAAUAUAAUGUAUUGGUCUUUCUCCUUGUUCUUUUGGGUUUUGUUUACAAACUUCUUUUUGUAUUGAGAGAAAAAUAGCCAAAGCAUCUUUGACAGAAGGUUCUGCACCAGGCAAAAAGAUCUGAAACAUUAGUUUGGAGGGCCCUCUUCUUAAAGUGGGGAUCUUAAACCAUCCUUUCUUUUGUAUUCCUCUUUACCCAUCAGACCAGAUCUUCUGUCCUAAAAAUGUGUCUUCCACCCUGCCCUCUUUUCUGUUCACCCCCAAAAGAAAACCUAUACACCCACACUCAUACACAUUUAAUGCUUGGAGUGUCUCCACAACUGUUAAACAAUCUAUGCAAAAAUCUGGAAGAAGCUAGAAACCCUCCAUUCCUUGUUCCAGCCUCCUGAAUCAAGACCAAUAC